Molecule: ribosomal RNA, 499 nt
Filed under: uncultured Desulfobulbus sp.
Lineage: Bacteria; Pseudomonadati; Thermodesulfobacteriota; Desulfobulbia; Desulfobulbales; Desulfobulbaceae
Description: bacterial SSU rRNA
Rfam family: Bacterial small subunit ribosomal RNA
Source: RNAcentral
CCCGCUCAGAAACUCAAAUGAAUUGACGGGGCCCGCACAAGCGGUGGAGUAUGUGGUUUAAUCGAUGCAACGCGAAGAACCUUACCUGGUCUUGACAUCCCGGAGACCCUUAGGAAACUAGGGGGUGCCUUCCAUCUGGAAGAAUCUGGAGACAGGUGCUGCAUGGCUGUCGUCAGCUCGUGUCGUGAGAUGUUGGGUUAAGUCCCGCAACGAGCGCAACCCUUGCCUUUAGUUGCCAGCAGUUCGGCUGGGCACUCUAAAGGGACUGCCGGUGUUAAACCGGAGGAAGGUGGGGAUGACGUCAAGUCCUCAUGGCCUUUAUGACCAGGGCUACACACGUACUACAAUGGCCGAUACAAAGGGCAGCGACACUGCGAGGUGAAGCCAAUCCCGUAAAAUCGGUCUCAGUCCGGAUUGGAGUCUGCAACUCGACUCCAUGAAGUUGGAAUCGCUAGUAAUCGUGGAUCAGCAUGCCACGGUGAAUACGUUCCCGGGCCUU